RNAcentral lists this long non-coding RNA (633 nucleotides) under Ananas comosus (pineapple). RNAcentral's name for it is "long non-coding RNA (ACOM_LNC017810)". Lineage: Eukaryota; Viridiplantae; Streptophyta; Magnoliopsida; Poales; Bromeliaceae. The record is from RNAcentral.
AAAACCAAAGAUCUAGGGUUUAAAACCCAAACCCUAACCCUAGGUUUGCAUCAAUGGUGCAAUCCAUGGUUCAAAGCUUCAAUGUGAGCUAGAACCAUCUUCUCUAACUCAAAUGGGUUCCAUUUGAACCACUCAAAAGCAACCAAAACCCUAAACCCUAGAAAUGCCAUUUUAGGGUUAGAGCUUACCUCUAAAAGCUUGCUCCAAAGCUAGCUUUAGCUUGAAAGAGGGAAGGGAGAUGAGCUCCUACUCCUUCUCCUUGAUCUUCUCCUUCCUUUCCUCUUCUUCUUCUUGUUCUUCCUCUCCUUCCUUUCUUCUUCUUCUUCUUUCUUUCUCUUUUCGGUUAGAGAGAGAGAGAGCAAGAGAGGUGUGAGAGAGGGAGAGAAAUGAGAGGGAAAUGAGAGGGGAGUGGACCCUCAGCCCUCAUAAAGGCAUAUUUGCAACUAAGCCCCUCUAUUUUUCCCAUAUUUAAAACAUUUCCUGCUAUUCGGGCUCCUUGUACCGGUACACGGGGUCUUGUACCGGUACAAGACCUGACAGACAGCCCAACCCGAGAGCUGGUUCUCUCGGUUUCGCAGGGCUUGUACCGGUACAAGGCCCCUUGUACCGGUACAGGACCUGGCAGCUCCAACC